Molecule: long non-coding RNA, 226 nt
Organism: Lepisosteus oculatus (spotted gar)
Lineage: Eukaryota; Metazoa; Chordata; Actinopteri; Semionotiformes; Lepisosteidae
Source: RefSeq, a predicted model, not a curated record
GCCAGCUGGGCGGGACCUAUAAAGGCACACAGGACAGCUCCGGCAGGGGAGUUUUCACCGACAGUCUCGGAGGGGAUUGCACCCGCGCCGCACCCCGUUACACAGGGAAAACCCAGCCUGGAGGUCACGCAGCACAUCGUUCUUUAUCGGCUGGCCUGUUACUCCGCCUUCAACUCGAACCCAGAGAGACCGUGCAGUAGCCAUUCUCCUGGCUUGAACACUCUCC